AGAGUUUGAUCCUGGCUCAGGACGAACGCUGGCGGCGUGCUUAACACAUGCAAGUCGAGCGGAAAGGCCCUUCGGGGUACUCGAGCGGCGAACGGGUGAGUAACACGUGAGCAAUCUGCCCUUAGCUUCGGGAUAGCUCCGGGAAACCGGGAUUAAUACCGAAUAGGACUGCGGCCGACAUCAGCCGCGGUGGAAAGAUU
Molecule: ribosomal RNA, 200 nt
Filed under: uncultured bacterium
Lineage: Bacteria
Description: partial 16S ribosomal RNA
Rfam family: Bacterial small subunit ribosomal RNA
Source: RNAcentral